RNAcentral lists this transfer RNA (58 nucleotides) under Ictidomys tridecemlineatus (thirteen-lined ground squirrel). RNAcentral's name for it is "Spermophilus tridecemlineatus (thirteen-lined ground squirrel) tRNA". It matches the Rfam family "tRNA", at positions 8 to 63 of the family's 71-position model. Rfam says of the family: Transfer RNA (tRNA) molecules are approximately 80 nucleotides in length. Their secondary structure includes four short double-helical elements and three loops (D, anti-codon, and T loops). The record is from Rfam by way of RNAcentral. Lineage: Eukaryota; Metazoa; Chordata; Mammalia; Rodentia; Sciuridae. RNAcentral also lists the same sequence under 1 other name.
UAGCUCAGUUGGUAGAGUGUUUGCCUCUCAUGCACAAGGCCCUGGGUUCAAUCCCCAG